UCUUUCUCUCCCAAAAAGACAUACUUGAGGUGGUCCGGUAACGCUUUAAGCUCCAAGGUUGGUGGCUGCAAAAUUGAAGGCAACAUUUUAAUUUGGGAAGGUAAUAGUUCAAAUUGGUUACCUCGAUUCGUCAACGAUGGUUGCGUCUCCAAGUGUUUGACAAUUUCUCGCAACGGAUCUUCUAUAACUGCUAACUCCUCGAGACGACUCAAUAUAUCCAUGUUAAUGCUUCUGUAAAGGACAGUUUCCAAC
Molecule: long non-coding RNA, 252 nt
Filed under: Gossypium barbadense (sea-island cotton)
Lineage: Eukaryota; Viridiplantae; Streptophyta; Magnoliopsida; Malvales; Malvaceae
Description: long non-coding RNA (GBAR_LNC021958)
Source: RNAcentral